AGAGUUUGAUCAUGGCUCAGGAUGAACGCUGGCGGCGUGCUUAACACAUGCAAGUCGAACGGACCGGAGGCCUUCGGACCCUGGUUAGUGGCGGACGGGUGAGUAACGCGUGAGGAACCUGCCUUGGAGUGGGGAAUAACGGUUGGAAACGACCGCUAAUACCGCAUAAUGCAACGGAGGCGCAUGCUCCGGCUGCCAAAGAUUUAUCGCUCUGAGAUGGCCUCGCGUCUGAUUAGCUAGUUGGUGGGGCAACGGCCCACCAAGGCGACGAUCAGUAGCCGGACUGAGAGGUUGGCCGGCCACAUUGGGACUGAGACACGGCCCAGACUCCUACGGGAGGCAGCAGUGGGGAAUAUUGGGCAAUGGGCGCAAGCCUGACCCAGCAACGCCGCGUGAAGGAAGAAGGCUUUCGGGUUGUAAACUUCUUUUAACAGGGACGAUGAUGACGGUACCUGUUGAAUAAGCUCCGGCUAACUACGUGCCAGCAGCCGCGGUAAUACGUAGGGAGCAAGCGUUAUCCGGAUUUACUGGGUGUAAAGGGCGUGUAGGCGGGACUGCAAGUCAGAUGUGAAAACUCAGGGCUCAACCCUGAGCCUGCAUUUGAAACUGUAGUUCUUGAGUACUGGAGAGGUUGACGGAACUCCUAGUGUAGCGGUGAAAUGCGUAGAUAUUAGGAAGAACACCAGUGGCGAAGGCGGUCAACUGGACAGCAACUGACGCUGAGGCGCGAAAGCGUGGGUAGCAAACAGGAUUAGAUACCCUGGUAGUCCACGCAGUAAACGAUGGAUACUAGGUGUGCG
Molecule: ribosomal RNA, 800 nt
Filed under: uncultured bacterium
Lineage: Bacteria
Description: bacterial SSU rRNA
Rfam family: Bacterial small subunit ribosomal RNA
Source: RNAcentral